This 442-nucleotide ribosomal RNA is filed under the name uncultured bacterium. RNAcentral's name for it is "bacterial SSU rRNA". It matches the Rfam family "Bacterial small subunit ribosomal RNA", at positions 360 to 793 of the family's 1533-position model. The record is from RNAcentral.
AAUAUUGCACAAUGGGCGCAAGCCUGAUGCAGCCAUGCCGCGUGUAUGAAGAAGGCCUUCGGGUUGUAAAGUACUUUCAGCAGUGAGGAAGGCAGGUACGUUAAUAGCGUGCUUGUUUGACGUUAGCUGCAGAAGAAGCACCGGCUAACUCCGUGCCAGCAGCCGCGGUAAUACGGAGGGUGCGAGCGUUAAUCGGAAUUACUGGGCGUAAAGCGCAUGCAGGUGGUUUGUUAAGUCAGAUGUGAAAGCCCGGGGCUCAACCUCGGAAUUGCAUUUGAAACUGGCAGACUAAAGUACUGUAGAGGGGGUAGAAUUUCAGGUGUAGCGGUGAAAAUGCGUAGAGAUCUGAAGGAAUACCGGUGGCGAAGGCGGCCCCCCUGGACAGAUACUGACACUCAGAUGCGAAAGCGUGGGGAGCAAACAGGAUUAGAUACCCUGGUAG